UACGGGGGGUCCAAGCGUUGUCCGGAUUUACUGGGCGUAAAGGGCGCGUAGGCGGGACGGUCAGUCGGAGGUGAAAUGUGCGGGCUCAACCUGCAGAUUGCCUUCGAUACUGCCGUUCUUGAGUGCAGAAGGGGAAAGUGGAAUACCUGGUGUAGCGGUGGAAUGCGCAGAUAUCAGGUAGAACACCGGUGGCGAAGGCGGCUUUCUGGUCUGACACUGACGCUGAGGCGCGAAAGCGUGGGGAG
RNAcentral lists this ribosomal RNA (245 nucleotides) under uncultured bacterium. Its description in RNAcentral is "partial 16S ribosomal RNA". It matches the Rfam family "Bacterial small subunit ribosomal RNA", at positions 524 to 768 of the family's 1533-position model. The record is from RNAcentral.